RNAcentral lists this ribosomal RNA (454 nucleotides) under Bacillus sp. (in: firmicutes). Its description in RNAcentral is "bacterial SSU rRNA". It matches the Rfam family "Bacterial small subunit ribosomal RNA", at positions 28 to 473 of the family's 1533-position model. Lineage: Bacteria; Bacillati; Bacillota; Bacilli; Caryophanales; Bacillaceae. The record is from RNAcentral.
GACGAACGCUGGCGGCGUGCCUAAUACAUGCAAGUCGAGCGGACUUAAAAAGCUUGCUUUUUAAGUUAGCGGCGGACGGGUGAGUAACACGUGGGCAACCUGCCUGUAAGACUGGGAUAACUUCGGGAAACCGGAGCUAAUACCGGAUAAUCCUUUUCUACUCAUGUAGAAAAGCUGAAAGACGGUUUACGCUGUCACUUACAGAUGGGCCCGCGGCGCAUUAGCUAGUUGGUGAGGUAACGGCUCACCAAGGCGACGAUGCGUAGCCGACCUGAGAGGGUGAUCGGCCACACUGGGACUGAGACACGGCCCAGACUCCUACGGGAGGCAGCAGUAGGGAAUCUUCCGCAAUGGACGAAAGUCUGACGGAGCAACGCCGCGUGAGUGAUGAAGGUUUUCGGAUCGUAAAACUCUGUUGUUAGGGAAGAACAAGUACGAGAGUAACUGCUCGUAC